Salmo salar (Atlantic salmon) is the source of this 4821-nucleotide non-coding RNA. The record is from RefSeq and is a predicted model, not a curated record. Lineage: Eukaryota; Metazoa; Chordata; Actinopteri; Salmoniformes; Salmonidae.
CUUAUGAAAUGCUUGUAAUUAUACUUCAGUAUUCCAUAGUAACAUCUGACAAAAAAAUCUAAAGACACUGAAGCAGCAAACUUUGUGGAAAUUAAUAUUUGUGUCAUUCUCAACUUUUGGCCACGACUGUACAUACACAGCGUUCAACAGAGCUGCAGGAAUUGUGACCCAUUUUUGAUGAUUAUGUUGUCAUUGUUGUGUCUAGGGGGGCAUAUGGGGGGUAUGAAUAUUUUAUAAAUCAAUCUCAAUCGUUUAUCUUCUCCAGUGACGAAGAUAUGGAUGUCUCAUGGAAUGGUGUGUUGUAUGCAAAAUGGCUCAACUUUGAGCACCUUUUUAUAUUUCAAAUGUUUUGGCAAACAUUCACUUGCUGAACACUUCUACAAUGGGCAAAUAUGUAUGGACAUUUUUGUUAAAAUCAGAAAGGGGUGCUGUCAAAAAGUGAUUGAAUUCAAAUGGAUUUGCCUUAAUAUGAAGUAACGACAAUACUCUCCAUCACUACAUUUACACAGUUGCUCCUUAAAAGCCUGGGCAAGUUAUCAGAACUACAAUAAAGCAUUAGAAGUUAAUUCUGUUCAUUGGUAAACUAGGCUCAUAUUAAAUUCAUAAGAGCCAGCCAAUCAUUAUUCUUUAGACAUGAUUAUUCAUGGGGGAAAACCAUGCUUUAAGACAGCCGUUAUUGAUUCUCAGCCAACACAACAUGUAAACAACUUUUCAGUCAUCGCAUAUCCAAAUGCCUUUGGACCAGCAACGUAAAGAGGUAAACCAACGUAAUGUAAAUGCAUUGGAGUUAUGGUAAUAAUUAGCUUAACCCUAAUAAAGGAACACAUUUUUAUUGUAAUUCCAAUUUUCCUCCAAGAAAACUUCCACUUCCCCCAACACUCAUGUGUCAAUUGGUUUAAAGAGGAAUGGAAACACUUUAGGAAGUAAAUCUAAGCAAAGAGAUCUAUUCAAUCCACUAAUACUAAACAUGUGCAUUUAACAUAAAAACAGCUCUAUAUUUAGUAUUUUGAUCACCGACAAGUUUUAUUUGAUCUAUGGUCAGCGCCAUUUUAAAUUGCCGGAGUAACGACUGACGCCAGUGCGUCACUGGCAGGAAUCAGCAAAUUGUCUGUGGUAUUGAGUUUUCACGCGGAGAUUAAAUUGAAGAGAGUGAGGUUAGGGACGGACAACGAAGAUGGCAACAGCAAGUAGUAGUUCAAACAUAAACUGUAUAGCGCCAGGCUGUAUGAAUUGGCUCCAAAAACAACCCCUCGGUAAACUACCACCGGCUGCCCAAGGACCUACAACUUUUGAAGAAGUGGCUCCGUGUCCUGAAAAGGAAGGACGUGCCAGCUCGAGCUAGCAGGACCUGCAGACAGCAUUUAGUGGAGGCAGACUUCGCGAUGAAGGGCACUUUCGAUGUUAUGGUGUAGGGGUUACCGACCAUCAUCAACAUCGCUGACUUUGGAGUCAAGCAAAAGCGACUGAACGGAGGAGGCAACACGAGUCAAUGCAAUGGAGCCUGAGGAUGACAUCUUCAUCCCUGAAAAUGUUUUCAUCCUGGAGGAGACUGUGCAGGAGGCAGUUGGAAAGAACGGUUAGUACAGCAUGCCAAACGGACCCCAUGGUGUCAGAGUGUUCCUGUGCUGCGGUGGAGAAGAGGUCCACCGGGACCAUCACUAAAGAGCUCUGUGCCCAGCUAGAUUGCGCACAAGACCAUCAGUAUACAACCGAGUCCUGCCCCUAUACGCCACAAAUGGCGCUGACGUAGAGUGAGAUCAGUGAAGACCAUAACUCACUGUAUGAACCCGAGAUCUCAGAAACACAAUCAUCACAGUGCGAGCCAAAAUAUACUAUCGAUCACUUUGGGGUAGCAGGAUGGUGUUCCAAAAAUGGAGAAGGCCAUUCAACAGCGAAUUCAAAGAUACACCAAUCCAUAAAGGGAAUCGGAGUGGAAUUGUUUUUCUUUUACCCGUUUCAACGGAUGUGCUACCUUGUCCCGGUUCUGCUGUUUCAACUCUCUCAACCUAUGAAUGCUCAGCUAUGAAAAGCCAACUGACAUUUGCUCCUGAGGUGUUGAACUGUUGCACCCUCUGUGGUUAUUAUUUUGAUGGAAAAGGGGCUUUUGUAAAAUGUAUUUGAUUUGUUUUCUGUGCUGUGUAUUCACUAACUCUCUGAGUGAUGGGACAUUUUUAUAGUGUCUGUAACAUAUUUUGGUGUGUAUUUUAAUCUGCAUCUUAACUUCUUAAAGUGGCAUUCAGCAGUAGAAACAAUAACAAAGUGUCUCCCUGCUCCUCUUUUGGUAAAAAGCUGAGGGAUGGGUCUGGAGAAAUGUAACCAUUCUCAAAUUCAUAGACAGAGCUAUAGAUGCAAGGACUGACCAUUCCUAGUUUAUGUCACUAUUCUAGUGACGGGGACAUGGGAUUAGUGCGCACUGAAACUAGUUUUAAUCUUCAAAGCAAGUUUAUCUGGUUACGCUUGAACCUGUUGUUAUAGUGGACAAGCUCACUAAUACUAUUUUUACAUAAUGUGCAGGCAUUAGGUCUAUGUCUUAGGCUAGAUUUACUAAAUGAACUGGUUUGAUUCAACCUUUUAUUCAAUGCCUUUGCUUCUGGCUAUGCGUGCCUGCUGGAAGAAACGACACACGCAGGGUUGAGACGCCGUACACCUCGUCCAAUUCUCUCAUGCCCAUAGGGUAAACUGGCGAUAAACUGCCAGCCUGUAUGCUCUGUAAACAAAAUCACAAGAGAAGUUGGUCUGAUACUGAAAAUAAAUCACAAUGUAUUUAUAAUGAGCACACCCCAUUAUUGGUUAGAAUAUUUCAUGAAUCAUGAUGCUGUCUGCAAUUUGGACUCCGGAUGCCUAAUCUAAAGGUAAAUGUGUUACCAACGUGCCAAACAGCGCUGAUGAUAAACAUCGUUAUGGGAUACUGAUUACAUAUAUUGAGCACCUACCCACGACUGAUAUUAACCUUAAACAAUUUAUAAUCAAGCAAAAUUUCACCAAUUAUUUAACUGGCAUAUCGGCUGCUGAUUGGUCAAGUAACUUAUUCUGCCAGGAAGUCCUUCAUAAGGAUUAGUGACAUGUCCAAUAAAUACAUCGCCACCCAGACAGACUAACAGGAACCUCUGACUGGAUGUAAUACAGCCACCAUCCGCUGGGAAUUUGUGCUGUAUCGCCACCAUCUCUCUACAACACACACACUCCUUCCUACUCUAGCCAUUAUCUGGCAGCAUCCCCACUCACACCAGUUUGUGUUUGCCAACGCCGACCGUCAUGCUGAGGUGUUUCAGUCGGCAUAUCUGUGUUACUGCUACGAGAACGAACUCUUUUGAUCUGGGGCAACGAUUGGCUCAAACAUGAAUGGCUUCAGUAGGUUUAUUGGCUCCGGGCUUCUGGUUGAGCAAUGUAGAAAGAAGUUGCACGAGGUCUCUUCUCUGACAACUUUUGUAAAUAAUCCUCAAUAUCGCCUAAAUUCAUACUUCUAAUGACCUCAAGUCAUUUAAAUUACCCAGUAAUAGAGUGUAUUUAAGUUAGCAUGAGCAAACCAGUCACACACUUUGGAAAAUUGACAAAAAGAUUCACACUCCACCAAAUCAACUAGAGCUAAAAUGGCUACCAUCCCAACUUCAUUUAAGGCUUCAAAAGCCACUCCCCAAUGACAAGGAUGUCCAGUGUUAGAGAGCUGGCGAAAUCGCAUUAAAGUUUGGCAGCAGAAUUCACCGAAUUGCUGAAAGUCUCACUGGCGGCUGCACUGGCUCCAAUUCAGUCAACCGGGGUUCUGUGGCAUCUCACACUACCACACUGGCCAAAGUUGAGGCCGGGCUGUCUGGACACAGGGACCAACUCACUACAUUGGAAACCAGGCUUGAUGAUGUGGCCGCCGCCAACAAGUCACUGCAGCUACAAGUGGAAGAUUUGAUUUCACGUUCAUAAAGCCAGCAUAUCCGCGUGAUUGGACUGACAGAGGAUUCUGAGAAAGGAUCGCCAACCCAGUUCAUGGCGGAGCUGUUCAAGGAAGUUUUGGGCGUUGAGGCUUUUCCCAAUCUCCCUGAACUCGAUAGAGCCAACCGCAGUCUUGCACCGAAACCUCGCCCAGCUGGCCGACCAUGUCCCAUCAGUGUGGUUCCAUUGAUACAAAGAAAAUGAGCUCGUCCUUCGGUGGGUAAGGGAACAUGGCGACAUCACUUUCCAAGGCCACAAGAUCAAGUUCUACCAGGAUUUCAGUUCUAGCCUGGCGAAGAAACAGGCCGCGUUCAACGACAUCAAGUCCACUCUGUACAAGAAGGGAAUCCGCUUUGGGCCGAUUUUUAUCCUGCCCGUCUACAAGUCACCUUUAAAAGCGAGGUCCAUUUUUUUCAGAAACUCCUGACGAAGCUGAGUCCUUCUACCGACAGCGCAUACAUUGAAUGCCUGAAUUGGGAUGAUUUCUCACCUGCCUGUAUUGUGAGUAACGUUAGUUCUAGUGACUAGAGGUCGACCGAUUAUGAUUUUUCAACGCCAAUACCGAUAAAGAUUAUUGGAGGACCAAAAAAAGCCGAUACCGAUUAAUUGGCCCGGUUUUUAUUUUUAUUUAUUUAUUUAUUUGUAAUAAUGACAAUUACAACAAUACUGAAUGAACACUUAUUUUAACUUAAGAUAAUACAUCAAUAAAAACAUUUUAGCCUCAAAUAAAUAAUGAAACAUGUUCAAUUUGGUUUAAAUAAUGCAACAACAAAGUUUUGGAGAAGAAGGUAAAAGUGCAAUUAUGUGCCAUGUAAAAAAAAAAAAAAAAAAAGGUAACGUUUAAGUUCCUUGCUCAGAACAUGAGAACAUAUGAAAGCUGGUGGUUCCUUUUAACAU